CCGUGCUAGACGGGGAGGUAGCGGUGCCCUGUACCUGCAACCCGCUGUAGCAGGGUUGAAUUCCUACCCCCGGCUUUCUUGUUUUAAGGUCUGACCCUGGCAAGUGGCGUUGAUGACUGGGUCCCGUGCGGCGUAAGCUUGUGAACCCCGUCAGGUCCGGAAGGAAGCAGCGGUAAGCAAAUCCUUACGGGUGCCACGGGGGAGCCUGGUCUGAGCAAACUACCGGGGUAACGCUUGAAAGAAGGAGUCAAAGGUAGGUGCACGG
Molecule: signal recognition particle RNA, 265 nt
Filed under: Bacillota bacterium
Lineage: Bacteria; Bacillati; Bacillota
Description: Firmicutes bacterium (anaerobic digester metagenome) signal recognition particle sRNA large type
Rfam family: Bacterial large signal recognition particle RNA
About the family: The signal recognition particle (SRP) is a universally conserved ribonucleoprotein involved in the co-translational targeting of proteins to membranes. Archaeal SRP consists of a 7S RNA and homologues of the eukaryotic SRP19 and SRP54 proteins.
Source: RNAcentral